GAUCCGGUGGCCUAGUAGUUAGAGUGUCUGCCUCGGAUGCGAGAGGUCGUGGGUUCUAUCCCCGGUCGAAUCA
Molecule: non-coding RNA, 73 nt
Organism: Potamilus streckersoni
Lineage: Eukaryota; Metazoa; Mollusca; Bivalvia; Unionida; Unionidae
Source: the annotation of a GenBank genome assembly